This 1343-nucleotide long non-coding RNA is filed under the name Sus scrofa (pig). RNAcentral describes it as "lncRNA (ENSSSCG00035040440.1)". The record is from RNAcentral. Lineage: Eukaryota; Metazoa; Chordata; Mammalia; Artiodactyla; Suidae.
AUGGGCACUGCAGGGUACACUCGUACAUUCUUCCCAGGGUCAAGGAGAGUGGAAAUUUCUCACUUUCCACUUGUCACACACCAGGAGGCCGUUCAGGAAGGGCACGUGAGCCCGGGUGUGGGGUUGGCAAGGGGAGGGUGGGACAGGGCCGGGAUUCCAUGGUCCUUGCCCCAGCUGCACCCUGAAUGCCAUCAGCUCAAGUAUCUGAGCAGCACUCACAGGAGCCCAGCAGAUGACAGGCAGCUGCAAGGCAUUUGUUGUGGAAACAGAGCCGCAAAUGGCCCUGCGGCCCAUCCCGCGGAGCUAUUCUCUUCGCACAGUUUUCAUCGGGGUGAGCGUCAGAGUAGCUUGUGCUAUAAAUAAGCUCUAAGUCCCAGGCAGCCGCUGUCCAAUUUGCUGGCUUUGUCCGUGAGUGAGAACGUAGUGGCCGUGAGGAAGGGGGAAGGGCAGAGUCUCCGUGGGGGGAAGGCUGGGAUCUAAAGGCUCUUGCCCCUCCUCCUUGGCACAUGGAGGCACAUUUGGUACAGCUACUGGCCUACCCAUUCUCCUCAGUCACAUAGUAUCAUUCCAAGGAUUAAUAUUCAUAUUAUUAUUAAUCAUCUCCCAACUCAGAGGUAGAUCAUAAAAGUCUGCUGACUCCAGGCAGCCCUGGACAGGUCAAGGUUAGAAAUGCUCCCGCACGUGAGAUGCGUCCACUGCAGAGCCCCGCCCAAGUAGCUAGCAUGUGACUCUGAGAUGCUGCCUUUUCUUUGACUGGUCCCUAGGUACCAGCACCUCUGGGGUGUGGCGGAGGGUUGCAGUGGGCUGUGCUUCUGGGCAGCGUGUGAAGAAGCAGGACAUGGGGGGAGAGGCAGCUAUGACGAGAGACCUGAACUACACGCCUCGUGGAAGAGAACUUGGCAGUAUCCAACAAAACUCUGCGUGCACUGACCUUUGACCCAGCCAUCCUACUUCUAGGAGGCAAUCCCAAAGAUAGCAAAACAUUUAAAAAUGAUACCCAAGGCCAUUCAUUGAAUCACUAUUACGAAAGCAAAUGGGGGAGUUCCCGUUGUGGCUCAGUGGUUAACAAACCCAACUAGGAACCAUGAGGUUUCGGGUUCAAUCCCUCGCCUCGCUCAGUGGGUUAAGGAUCUGGCAUUGCUGUGAGCUGUGGUGUAGGUUGCAGAUGUGGGCUCAGAUCCCACAUUGCUGUGGCUGUGGCGUAGGCCGGCAGCUGCAGAUCUGAUUCAACCCCCAGCCCGGGAACUUCUAUAUGCUGUGGGUGUGGCCCUAAAAAGGACAAAAGAAAGAAAAAGAAGCAAAUAUGUAUACAUAUUCACAUCCCCCUUUCUUAGAUAAAAGAG